CAACGGCGGUGGCAGGGCAAAAACAUGCAAAGUCGAACGGCAGCACAGAAGAGCUUGCUCUUUGGGUGGCGAGUGGCGGACGGGGGAGUAAUGUCUGGGAAACUGCCCGAUGGAGGGGGAUAACUACUGGAAACGGUAGCUAAUACCGCAUAACGUCGCAAGACCAAAGUGGGGGACCUUCGGGCCUCACACCAUCGGAUGUGCCCAGAUGGGAUUAGCUAGUAGGUGGGGUAAUGGCUCAACUAGGCGACGAUCCCUAGCUGGUCUGAAAGGGGACCGGACACA
This 285-nucleotide ribosomal RNA is filed under the name Erwinia sp. RNAcentral's name for it is "partial 16S ribosomal RNA". It matches the Rfam family "Bacterial small subunit ribosomal RNA", at positions 32 to 312 of the family's 1533-position model. Lineage: Bacteria; Pseudomonadati; Pseudomonadota; Gammaproteobacteria; Enterobacterales; Erwiniaceae. The record is from RNAcentral.